GGCCAGUUAGCUCAGUCAGUAGAGCAUAGCGGUAACAGCGUUAAGGUCACGGGUUCGAUUCCCGUUUGGUCCA
RNAcentral lists this transfer RNA (73 nucleotides) under Apaloderma vittatum (bar-tailed trogon). It matches the Rfam family "tRNA". Rfam says of the family: Transfer RNA (tRNA) molecules are approximately 80 nucleotides in length. Their secondary structure includes four short double-helical elements and three loops (D, anti-codon, and T loops). The record is from Rfam by way of RNAcentral. Lineage: Eukaryota; Metazoa; Chordata; Aves; Trogoniformes; Trogonidae.